GUACCCUCAAGCUCUGCUUGGUGUUGGGUGUUUGUCCCGUUUCACGCGUGGACUCGCCUUAAAGCAAUUGGCAGCCGGCAUACUGGCCUUGGAGCGCAGCACAAUUUGCGCUUCUUGCCCUGAAUGUCAGCGUCCAUCAAGUCUACAUUUUUGC
Molecule: unclassified non-coding RNA, 154 nt
Filed under: uncultured Pyrenochaeta
Lineage: Eukaryota; Fungi; Ascomycota; Dothideomycetes; Pleosporales; Pleosporaceae
Description: sequence contains ITS2
Source: RNAcentral